GUUGUUGGCACUCCCGCGGGGCUGCCAUCCUAGGAUUGUCUGCUCCAAAGCCUCAACGUGCUGUGCCGCGAUGAACUGGUUUCUGUUUCUAAGCCAGAGCACACCCCAAGGAGACAGUCCACAGGUGUUCAUCCAUUCCCAUUCAUUCAUUCAGGAGCGGAGGGUGCUGCGGUGAACAGUGCGGUCAAGGUCCCUGCCUUCAGGAAGCUUCCUUCCUGGUGAGAGAAACAAAAUGGAAAUCACUUCAGAGUGCUCUGGGCAGUAAGGUGACUCGCAAGGAUGACAAUCAGCAGUGCGGUCAGGAAAGCCACUCUGCGGACCGACCGAUGCUGGAGCGACUCGGGAUAUGGCCCAAGAAUGGCAGUGUGGCCUGUUAAAGAGUUAUGAAGCUUCAGGCCUGAGGCAGCAUCAUGUAUGUAUUAAAGAAGUGAUCCCUUUGUGUAUAAAGAUAUGUUGUGUAACGACCUCACAACUUCAAGUCUUUCUGAUGAAAGUGAGGUUAAGUUACCCCAUCGUCAUCCAAGAUUUUUGUUUCCUUUUUUUUAUUUUUCCUCCUAAAGGAUUUUCUUCAAGUAUUGCUUUGUUUUUCCAAUUUGUCUAUCGUGAAUCUUACCAAGCAAUACACUCCUCUCGGUUUGGAAAAUAUCGUGUGAUAUGUUUUAUGAUUAUAAAAGUUUGACUAUGGUGGAGAUUUUGAAAAAUACAGAAAAGAAGAAAAAUGUUUUCACCACUCAGAAAUAAACACCGUUGAUGUUUUGGGGGGACCUCUAGUCCUGGGAGUUCUUAACCUGGGCUCCAUGGAUAAAGAAUAGAGUUUCAUCUUUGGUUUCAUUAACUUCUAAAUAAAAUUUAACAUUUCUUUUUA
This is a long non-coding RNA of Eptesicus fuscus (big brown bat), 865 nucleotides long. RefSeq lists it as uncharacterized. The record is from RefSeq and is a predicted model, not a curated record. The transcript is spliced from 2 exons. Lineage: Eukaryota; Metazoa; Chordata; Mammalia; Chiroptera; Vespertilionidae.